CUCAUCACCAAGGAGAACCUUCGGUUAACACGGUUUAUCUGGCAGAAAGUUUCCCAGAAAACUGAUGAUGAUCAGAAGGUGUUCCUGUAUGAUAAAGGUCAUCUUUACAGUGAUGAGCGUCCAGGUCAGAGUGAGCAGUUCAAAGGUCGAGUCUCACAUUUUCCAGAUGAACUGGAACAAGGCAACGCCUCCAUAAUCAUCAGAAUACAACGAGGGCUGACAGUGGAGACUACAGAUGUAUUAUUUAUCUAGAUCUUCAGAAACCUCAAGAAUGCCACAUUAAGCUUGAUGUUGUUGGUUCAACUCCAGAGUCAAAAGAACAUCAUUCAUUAAUGAUGGAAGAAAGGCUUGAUAAUGUCUGUGUUUCUGGAAACAUUUAUUUGUCUUCAGUUAUUUUAUGCUUGUGUUAUAUCACAAUGUAUAGGCUCAUUGAUUUUGUCUUGCAGUUCUAGUUGAUUGUGUAACUGUGUGUAAGACUUGUACAGUAUUCCUGUUCCAGAGGUGUGUAGAGCAGAGAGGACCAGAUCAACAUGAUGAUGCUCUUAGAAGUCUUGUCUUCUUGUAUUCAGACAUAAUUACAAUGUUUUCUGUGAUGUGUGUGAAAUAUUGUGUAAAAAAAGGUCACUUCAUUUAAUGUUUUUUGUUAUUUUAUAGUGUGUUUUAUUACAGUAGUUAGCUCUUUAGACAAUCAUUUCUUGCUUGUGUAUUUAGAAGAAUAGUAAAGGCUGAGAUGUGGUAUUGAUCUUCUUAUCUAACUCAGUGAGAAAGUGAAUAAAGUGCCCUGGUGGGUCACCGGGUAGACCUGGUACUUUAGGCUGAGUCCUCACCACAGUGACUUUGGUUUGAGUCCACCACAGAGCCCUUUGCUGCAUGUCAUCUCCUGUCUUUCCUGUCUGUCUCUAUCACUAUCUUUUAGAAGCAGAAAUGCGAAGAAAUAAGUAUUUAGAAAAGAGUACACUACUAUGUUCUUG
This 971-nucleotide long non-coding RNA is filed under the name Sander lucioperca (pikeperch). RNAcentral's name for it is "lncRNA (ENSSLUG00000009109.1)". The record is from RNAcentral. Lineage: Eukaryota; Metazoa; Chordata; Actinopteri; Perciformes; Percidae.